This 236-nucleotide ribosomal RNA is filed under the name uncultured bacterium. Its description in RNAcentral is "partial 16S ribosomal RNA". It matches the Rfam family "Bacterial small subunit ribosomal RNA", at positions 99 to 334 of the family's 1533-position model. The record is from RNAcentral.
CGGACGGGUGAGUAAUGUCUGGGAAACGUGCCUGAUGGAGGGGGAUAACUACUGGAAACGGUAGCUAAUACCGCAUAACGUCGCAAGACCAAAGAAGGGGGGACCCUUAGGGCCUCUUGCCAUCGGAUGUGCCCAGAUGGGAUUAGCUAGUAGGUGGGGUAACGGCUCACCUAGGCGACGAUCCCUAGCUGGUCUGAGAGGAUGACCAGCCACACUGGAACUGAGACACGGUCCAG